Molecule: ribosomal RNA, 312 nt
Filed under: uncultured bacterium
Lineage: Bacteria
Description: bacterial SSU rRNA
Rfam family: Bacterial small subunit ribosomal RNA
Source: RNAcentral
AGUAAACGUUGGCGGUGUGCGUAACACAUGCAAGUCGAACGAACCUUAGGUGGCUUGCCAUUUAAGGAAAGUGGCGAACGGGUGAGUAACACGUGAGUAAUCUGCCCUCGAGUGAGGAAUAACUUCGCGAAAGCGGAGCUAAUACCGCAUAAUACUGUGAAGCAUAUGCUUUCACAGUCAAAGCCCUUCGGGGUGCUUGAGGAUGAGCUUGCGGCUUAUUAGCUAGUUGGUAGGGUAACGGCCUACCAAGGUAAUGAUGAGUAGCCGGCCUGAGAGGGUGUACGGCCACACUGGAACUGCGACACGGUCCAG